UAAAGAGCAUAUUUAUUGACCAAAAUGGCAUAUCUUUCUUAGUCUUCCUUCCCCCAAUGGAAUGAGCACAACAUGGUAGUAAUACCACCAUUAAAAGGAAAAAAAACUAAAAGAAGACAUGCCGAUGUACAAGUUACAUCAUAAAUUAUGUAUUUUUCUAACAAAUCUCAUAAAACCUUCAAGGUUUGGAUGUGGUUGUAUUGGCGGUGGUGGAAAUGAAGCUUGUUCAUCACCACUUCUGGGCUAAGCAAGUUCUGCUAGCAUUUCUUCAUAGCACUCUUCUAUUUCUGGUUGUGAUUCAGCUAGCCCAAAGUUCC
RNAcentral lists this long non-coding RNA (317 nucleotides) under Nicotiana benthamiana. Its description in RNAcentral is "long non-coding RNA (NBEN_LNC021239)". Lineage: Eukaryota; Viridiplantae; Streptophyta; Magnoliopsida; Solanales; Solanaceae. The record is from RNAcentral.